AUUGAACGCUGGCGGCAGGCCUAACACAUGCAAGUCGAGCGGUAGCGCAGAGAGCUUGCUCUCGGGUGACGAGCGGCGGACGGGUGAGUAAUGUCUGGGAAACUGCCCGAUGGAGGGGGAUAACUACUGGAAACGGUAGCUAAUACCGCAUAACGUCGCAAGACCAAAGAGGGGGACCUUCGGGCCUCUUGCCAUCGGCUGUGCCCAGAUGGGAUUAGCUAGUAGGUGGGGUAACGGCUCACCUAGGCGACGAUCCCUAGCUGGUCUGAGAGGAUGACCAGCCACACUGGAACUGAGACGCGGUCCAGACUCCUACGGGAGGCAGCAGUGGGGAAUAUUGCACAAUGGGCGCAAGCCUGAUGCAGCCAUGCCGCGUAUGAAGAAGGCCUUCGGGUUGUAAAGUACUUUCAGCGGGGAGGAAGGUGUUGAGGUUAAUAACCUCAGCAAUUGACGUUACCCGCAGAAGAAGCACCGGCUAACUCCGUGCCAGCAGCCGCGGUAA
RNAcentral lists this ribosomal RNA (502 nucleotides) under uncultured bacterium. Its description in RNAcentral is "partial 16S ribosomal RNA". It matches the Rfam family "Bacterial small subunit ribosomal RNA", at positions 29 to 523 of the family's 1533-position model. The record is from RNAcentral.